This 298-nucleotide ribosomal RNA is filed under the name uncultured bacterium. RNAcentral's name for it is "partial 16S ribosomal RNA". It matches the Rfam family "Bacterial small subunit ribosomal RNA", at positions 46 to 339 of the family's 1533-position model. The record is from RNAcentral.
AGGCUUAACACAUGCAAGUCGAGGGGCAGCGCGGGGCGGCAACGUCCUGGCGGCGACCGGCGGAAGGGUGCGUAACGCGUGAGCGACAUGCCCGUUGCCCGGGGACAACCGGUGGAAACGCCGACUAAUCCCCGAUGGGACGGAGGCCCUCAUGGGUCUCUGUUGAAAGUUACGGCGGUACAGGAUGGACCCGCGUCUGAUUAGCUAGUUGGUAAGGUAACGGCCCACCAAGGCUACGAUCGGUAGGGGUUCUGAGAGGAAGGUCCCCACAAUGGAACUGAGACACGGUCCAUACUCC